This 244-nucleotide ribosomal RNA is filed under the name uncultured Staphylococcus sp. Its description in RNAcentral is "partial 16S ribosomal RNA". It matches the Rfam family "Bacterial small subunit ribosomal RNA", at positions 120 to 355 of the family's 1533-position model. The record is from RNAcentral. Lineage: Bacteria; Bacillati; Bacillota; Bacilli; Caryophanales; Staphylococcaceae.
GGUACGGUACNCCUAUAAGACUGGGAUAACUUCGGGAAACCGGAGCUAAUACCGGAUAAUAUUUCGAACCGCAUGGUUCGAUAGUGAAAGGUGGUUUUGCUAUCACUUAUAGAUGGACCCGCGCCGUAUUAGCUAGUUGGUAAGGUAACGGCUUACCAAGGCGACGAUACGUAGCCGACCUGAGAGGGUGAUCGGCCACACUGGAACUGAGACACGGUCCAGACUCCUACGGGAGGCAGCAGCC